AGAACGAACGCUGGCGGCGUGGAUAAGACAUGCAAGUCGAACGGGAUUUGUUUUGUAGCAAUACAAGGCAAGUCCAGUGGCGUAAGGGUGCGUAACACGUGGGGAAUCUGCCGAGAAGUGGGGGAUAGCUCGCCGAAAGGCGAAUUAAUACCGCAUGUGGUUGGUGAAGACAUCUUCACGACACCAAAGCCGGGGCAACCGUGGCGCUUCUUGAUCGACCCCGCGGCCUAUCAGCUAGUUGGUGAGGUAACGGCUCACAGCUAUGACGGUAGCUGGUCUGAGAGGACGACCACGCCACGACGUAGGAGCGUGACGAC
Molecule: ribosomal RNA, 317 nt
Filed under: uncultured soil bacterium
Lineage: Bacteria
Description: bacterial SSU rRNA
Rfam family: Bacterial small subunit ribosomal RNA
Source: RNAcentral